UACGUAGGGUGCGAGCGUUGCCCGGAUUUAUUGGGCGUAAAGGGCGCGUAGGCGGUGAGAUGCGUCCGUUGUGAAAUCGCCCGGCUCAACUGGGCGGGGUCAGCGGAUACGGUCUCACUUGAGCAAGCUAGGGGGCAAUGGAAUUCCCGGUGUAGUGGUGGAAUGCGUAGAUAUCGGGAGGAACACCAGUGGCGAAGGCGGUUGCCUGGGGCUUACCUGACGCUGAGGAGCGAAAGCGUGGGGAGCGAACAGG
This 253-nucleotide ribosomal RNA is filed under the name uncultured bacterium. RNAcentral describes it as "partial 16S ribosomal RNA". It matches the Rfam family "Bacterial small subunit ribosomal RNA", at positions 524 to 776 of the family's 1533-position model. The record is from RNAcentral.